CCGCGUGUAUGAAGAAGGCCUUGGGGUUGUAAAGUACUUUCAGCGGGGAGGAAGGGAGUAAAGUUAAUACCUUUACUCAUUGACGUUACCCGCAGAAGAAGCACCGGCUAACUCCGUUCCAGCAGCCGCGGUAAUACGGAGGGUGCAAGCGUUAAUCGGAAUUACUGGGUGUAAAGCGCACGCGGAAUUUUUC
This 193-nucleotide ribosomal RNA is filed under the name Escherichia fergusonii. RNAcentral describes it as "partial 16S ribosomal RNA". It matches the Rfam family "Bacterial small subunit ribosomal RNA", at positions 397 to 582 of the family's 1533-position model. The record is from RNAcentral. Lineage: Bacteria; Pseudomonadati; Pseudomonadota; Gammaproteobacteria; Enterobacterales; Enterobacteriaceae.